AGGUCAUUUUGAGGGCAGUUUCUUAGUAACCCUUUAUAUCGCCCCCAUGCCUCAUAAAGCGACUCACCCGGUUGUUGCUUAAAUUUGGCUAUUUCCUUCUUGAGUUU
Lactuca sativa (garden lettuce) is the source of this 107-nucleotide small nucleolar RNA. Lineage: Eukaryota; Viridiplantae; Streptophyta; Magnoliopsida; Asterales; Asteraceae. The record is from RefSeq and is a predicted model, not a curated record.